GAAUAUUCCGCAAUGCGCGAAAGCGUGACGGAGCAAUGCCGCGUGUGGGAUGAAGCAUCUAGGUGUGUAAACCACUGUCAGGGUUUAGGAAGUUCUGACCAGACCCAAAGGAAGAGCCGGCCAACUCUGUGCAAGCAGCCGCGGUAAUACAGAGGGCUCGAGCGUUAAUCGGCAUCACUGGGCUUAAAGGGUCCGCAGGCGGACUAGCAAGUACCUUGUGAAAUACCAUGGCUCAACCAUGGAAUUGCUUGGUAAACUGCUAGUCUUGAACACGGUAGGGGCCAUCGGAACUCUAGGUGGAGCGGUGAAAUGCGUAGAUAUCUAGAGGAACGCCAGAGGCGAAGGCGGAUGGCUGGGCCGUUGUUGACGCUCAGGGACGAAAGCGUGGGUAGCGAACGGG
This 400-nucleotide ribosomal RNA is filed under the name uncultured bacterium. RNAcentral's name for it is "bacterial SSU rRNA". It matches the Rfam family "Bacterial small subunit ribosomal RNA", at positions 359 to 776 of the family's 1533-position model. The record is from RNAcentral.